This 423-nucleotide ribosomal RNA is filed under the name Triticum aestivum (bread wheat). RNAcentral's name for it is "partial small subunit ribosomal RNA". Lineage: Eukaryota; Viridiplantae; Streptophyta; Magnoliopsida; Poales; Poaceae. The record is from RNAcentral.
AUGGAGAGACUUGUUAAUGUUCAUUACAUUGACAAGGAGGCAUUCUUGAGUAACAAUGCCGACACGGGUCAGGAACCAUUGGUUUUUGAUACAAUCCCUAGCUAUGAGGAUGUUGUUGCAAAAGUGAGACAAGUCUUGAAGUGGAUGGACACCAAUGUUGAUGUUAAGUUAAUAGGAAGGUAUGAUGUUGGAGUUGGAGCCAAAUCUCGCUUGAAAAGUAUGCCUAUCACCUCGGAUUUGCAUUGGGAUGUAUACAAGGAAAAAGUAUCCCAAUCAGAAGACAAGUCACUUGAAUUGUUUGCCACCAAGGUUGAAUCUCCUCGGUUUACCUUUGAUUUGAACCGGCAUGUCUCUUCCCCAAUGGAUGACAUGAGCGUUGAGUUGUAUGCCCCCAAUGCUUCUAGCCAACCACCAACUAGCCAA